This 272-nucleotide ribosomal RNA is filed under the name uncultured bacterium. RNAcentral describes it as "partial small subunit ribosomal RNA". It matches the Rfam family "Bacterial small subunit ribosomal RNA", at positions 26 to 285 of the family's 1533-position model. The record is from RNAcentral.
AGAAUCAACGCUGGCGGCGUGCCUAACACAUGCAAGUCGAACGCGAAAGUCCCGCAAGGGAUAAGUAGAGUGGCAAACGGGUGAGUAACGCGUGGGUGACCUACCUUCGAGUGGGGGAUAACCUUCCGAAAGGAGGGCUAAUACCGCAUGAUAUGCCGUGUUUAGAUACAUGGCCAUCAAAGCCGGGGAUCGCAAGACCUGGCGCUUGGAGAGGGGCCCGCGUCCGAUUAGCUAGUUGGUGGGGUAACGGCUCACCAAGGCUCCGAUCGGUA